RNAcentral lists this ribosomal RNA (468 nucleotides) under uncultured bacterium. RNAcentral's name for it is "partial 16S ribosomal RNA". It matches the Rfam family "Bacterial small subunit ribosomal RNA", at positions 28 to 507 of the family's 1533-position model. The record is from RNAcentral.
GACGAACGCUGGCGGCGUGCUUAACACAUGCAAGUCGAACGGAAAGGCCCUGCUUUUGUGGGGUGCUCGAGUGGCGAACGGGUGAGUAACACGUGAGUAACCUGCCCUUGACUUUGGGAUAACUUCAGGAAACUGGGGCUAAUACCGGAUAGGAGCUCCUGCUGCAUGGUGGGGGUGGGAAAGUUUCGGCGGUUGGGGAUGGACUCGCGGCUUAUGAGCUUGUUGGUGGGGUAGUGGCUUACCAAGGCUUUGACGGGUAGCCGGCCUGGGAGGGUGACCGGCCACAUUGGGACUGAGAUACGGCCCAGACUCCUACGGGAGGCAGCAGUGGGGAAUAUUGCACAAUGGGAGGAAGCCUGAUGCAGCAACGCCGCGUGCGGGAUGACGGCCUUCGGGUUGUAAACCGCUUUAGCCUGUGACGAAGCGUGAGUGACGGUAAUGGGUAAAGAAGCACCGGCUAACUACGUG